GAUGAACGCUGGCGGCGUGCCUAAUACAUGCAAGUCGAGCGAACAGACGAGGAGCUUGCUCCUCUGACGUUAGCGGCGGACGGGUGAGUAACACGUGGAUAACCUACCUAUAAGACUGGGAUAACUUCGGGAAACCGGAGCUAAUACCGGAUAACAUGUUGAACCGCAUGGUUCAACAGUGAAAGACGGUUUUGCUGUCACCUAUAGAUGGAUCCGCGUCGCAUUAGCUAGUUGGUAAGGUAACGGCUUACCAAGGCAACGAUGCGCAGCCGACCUGAGAGGGUGAUCGGCCACACUGGAACUGAGACACGGUCCAGACUCCUACGGGAGGCAGCAGUAGGGAAUCUUCCGCAAUGGGCGAAAGCCUGACGGAGCAACGCCGCGUGAGUGAAGAAGGUCUUCGGAUCGUAAAACUCUGUUAUUAGGGAAGAACAAAUGUGUAAGUAACUAUGCACGUCUUGACGGUACCUAAUCAGAAAGCCACGGCUAACUACGUG
This 497-nucleotide ribosomal RNA is filed under the name uncultured bacterium. RNAcentral's name for it is "partial 16S ribosomal RNA". It matches the Rfam family "Bacterial small subunit ribosomal RNA", at positions 28 to 507 of the family's 1533-position model. The record is from RNAcentral.